Molecule: ribosomal RNA, 503 nt
Filed under: uncultured bacterium
Lineage: Bacteria
Description: partial 16S ribosomal RNA
Rfam family: Bacterial small subunit ribosomal RNA
Source: RNAcentral
AUUGAACGCUGGCGGCAGGCUUAACACAUGCAAGUCGAGCGGGGUGAUGGUGCUUGCACUAUCACUUAGCGGCGGACGGGUGAGUAAUGCUUAGAGAUCUGCCUAUUAGUGGGGGACAACAUCUCGAAAGCGAUGCUAAUACUGCAUACGUCCUACGGGAGAAAGCAGGGGAUCACUUGUGACCUUGCGCUAAUAGAUGAGCCUAAGGCGGAUUAGCUAGUUGGUGGGGUAAAGGCCUACCAAGGCGCCGAUCUGUAGCGGGUCUGAGAGGAUAAUCCGCCACACUGGGACUGAGACACGGCCCAGACUCCUACGGGAGGCAGCAGUGGGGAAUAUUGGACAAUGGGGGGAACCCUGAUCCAGCCAUGCCGCGUGUGUGAAGAAGGCCUUAUGGUUGUAAAGCACUUUAAGCGAGGAGGAGGCUCUUUUGGUUAAUACCCAAGAUGAGUGGACGUUACUCGCAGAAUAAGCACCGGCUAACUCUGUGCCAGCCGCCGCUGUAA